RNAcentral lists this long non-coding RNA (5146 nucleotides) under Equus caballus (horse). RNAcentral's name for it is "lncRNA (ENSECAG00000035300.3)". The record is from RNAcentral. Lineage: Eukaryota; Metazoa; Chordata; Mammalia; Perissodactyla; Equidae.
CACCUCGUUGAGGUUUCCCCUGCCGCCCUCCUCUCCGCACAGGGACGCGCCCUGGUUCUGCGGUGGAGACGGGGCGCCGGGAUGCUCGUGAGAAGCGAGCCGGAGGGACAGGCCCCCUGGAGGUGAGCCCGGCGCCCCGCCUCCUGCGCGCCCCACCUCCCGCCGGCAGCCGCCCCCCCAGCCGCUUGACAGGGCGCAUCUUCCCUCUUCCGACGUGGCCGCGGGGCUCGUCGUGGGGUCCCCCCCCCCCACCCGCCGCCCUGGGCCCGGCCGCGUCUGCCACACGCGGCACCUCGCACACGUGCCGGUCUGCGCGCUGCCUCCGCUCCGCCCGGCGCCCGGCUCCCUCCCCGCAGCUCUCACAGUGCCCGCCUUGCAGAGGAGGAAACUGAGGCUCAGAGAGGGUGAGUGACAUGCCUGAGGCCGCUCAGCUAAUGCCCAGCAGAGCUGGGACUUGAGCCCAUGUCAUUCUGCUCUAGAAGCUGCGCUGUGACCAUGGGCUGCCCCCUGAGGCCAUCCGUGUUUGUCCACCACGCAGGGGCACGCAUAGCUGUGUGCUGGACAAAUAAAUGGCCGUCUGAGCUCGAGCUUCUCUCCCCUGCACGGGCCGGGCGAGUGGGCGGCUGCUUCUCUUUCUGGACUCUGCGCCCCGGAGGCCAGUGUGCUGCCCAUGCCCGUCUGUGUCCUGGUAUGCAGCAGGUGCUCGGUAAGUGUUUCUGGAGUAAAUAACUGGAUCAGUCAAUUCACAAACUUCUCUUGGGCCCGGCUUGUGCUUCUCUGCUACAGGCUCCUUCCUUGGCAAGGGUGGGGGCACCUGCAGCUCAGUGUCCCUAGUGCUGAGCACGUGGCCUGGCUCCCAGUGGGUGUGCUGGAAAGUUCUCUGAGGUUCAGCCAUGACUUAUUCACAAGCCUCGCCCUAAGCUGGCUGGGGCUCCUGCCUCAGAGCCACGAGCCCACCUGGGGAGGCGUUCAGGGCCCCCUCUAGGCGAGUCUGGUGCAGAGUGAGGCGCUGUCUAGCUCCUCCUCUCUCCCCGGCUCACUCCGGGACUUCUUUCCUGCCCCAGGGCCUUUGCGAGUGCUGCCCUCCUGCCUGGACAUCUCUUCCAGGCUGGCCGCUUUUCUUCCAGGGCCUUGGCUUCCCCAUCACCUCCUCAGAGAGGCCCCUGGCUGCCGCAUCGAGCUGCAGCCCUCAGUGUUGAGUGACCCUCGAGAGCUGGAAACUCAAGUUCGAAGUGUGGGCGACAUUCAAGAUGCGGGCGGCCAGUUCAGCCAGCCCGGGCGCCGCUGCACAGUGAACUCCCGUCUGCUAGGCUGUUCCAGACCCGUCUUCCACAGCAAGCCCGUGUGGUGGCAAGACCCCCGGCGGCAGGGAUGUUUGGUUGGGAACCGGCCCCGCCCCCUGUGGUUGACGACGACUUUGGGGUCCUCGCAGGUUCCGGGUGAGGGAUGACCUGAGAAAGAGGUGCUGGCAUCUUGCCGACACAGCGCCUGGGAGCCUCAGUGAGGAAGGAGCAAGGAGGGACCGUCGCCUGGAAUCCUAACUUGUGGAGGCGUUUAUUCUGACCCGUCAGUUUGGAAGGAGAGGUUCCUGGCCCCCAGGGCUCCGGGGAGAGUUGCUGCGGGACUGCACCUGCUGCACCUCGGCCUCACUGGCUGGCUUCUUGCUCCAGGAAAUGCAGCCCAUUCCUCUGGUCCCUCCGUUCUUCCUACCCCCCCCCCCCCCCCCCCCCCCCCCCCCCCCCCCCCCGCCUCAGUGCCUGCAACCCCAGCCCCGGAAGGGUUUCCUCCAUGGGGGGUGCUCUGAGGACGCUCAGGGGAAUGGAAGGCAGGCAAUGGGGGGUGGGGGCAGAGACUGUCACUGCCUUCCCAAGCUGCAGCCUCUCUCGUCCCCCCUUCCUGCUCGGAAGAUGCUUCCAGCGUGCACCUGCCAGGAACUGUUGCAGAUGCCGUCUGAGAAACCUUCAAAGGAGCGGAACAAAACGUUUAUCCCUGAGGAAACGUCGACAGUUAACUGUUACCUGGGAGAAUGCACAGUCUGGCAGGCAGAGCAACAGGUGCACACGAGAGCUGCUCUACAGGCCGAUGAAGUUAGAAAACAAGUAUAAAAUGAUAAAACCCAGUGUUGGCAGGGAUGUGGGGAAAAUGACACAUCAGCUUCGCUGUAAACAGAUUCAGAUGCUGAAGAUCACUGUGUCUGUGUGAAACAAGGGCUGUGACACUGCACGUACCCUCCAACCCAGCGUUUCAUCUUUUGGCAAAACAUUUUUGUCCUCAGGGACAGAAACAUGCAUAGUGGAGUUAUUUGAAAGUGGGAGAUGGAAAAACCAAAAAUCGAAAAACUCAGAUGCCCCGUGCUAACAUUUGUGGAGCGCUCACACUGUUUGAAAUGCUGAACGUGAUUACUCUUUAAUCCUUACAGCCGCUCUGCAUCUGUGUGUUUAUGAGGCCCUGAGUCAGCCCUUCCCCCGAGGUCCCUCAGGAGGUGAGCGGCAGGGCUGAGGGCUGAACCCAGGCGGCACCACCUCAAACUCGAUGGCAGUGGGGGGUCUCCGCCCCACGCAGUUGCUCGGUAACAUGAAGGCAGAAUUGCCCACCAGAGAGAGGGUGACCUGCAGCUCCGUGGGGUGUGCGGUCACCAGGGUGCGGCCUGGAGACAAAAGGGCUCCUUUGUGCUUCUGCCUGGCGGUAAACACCAGCCACUGCCCGGCAGGCAUGCCCCAGCCUGCGGCUCUGGAAUGUGGGCGAGCCACCAUCCUGACGACCGGCCACUGGUGGCUGGUCUCGAGGUGGCCAGGCCCGGCCUGCAGACCCAGCCACCCGCGCUCUGUGUGUGCCCGAGGAAGGAGCCCAGCCCUUCACACCGCCUCGAUGGACGCUGAGCAGUUGAAGUGAUGCCCAGAACCCCAGUGUCCGCUCUGGGCAGAAGCACCGGUGGCCUCGAGGGUGGAAGUGCUGGAAGGAUGGCGACAGCUCCAGGCAGCUGCGGCUUCAAGGAGGCUGAGACUGUGGAGAUGCUCUGCCUCCUGAGAAGGGGACGGGAGGGGACACAUCCUGGUGGCACGUCCGAGGCUGGUUUUAGCCUGGUGCCUGCGUCUUUACAGCCGGUCCCCCAGCUGCUCAGCCCCUGCUUAGCAGAGCGAGGGCAGGGCUCCGGCUCCGAGCCGCGGGCAGGCAGCGGCGUUUACUGCGUGACUUAUCUCCCACGUGCUCGUUUUCGGAGUCGUCUUCUCUUGGUGGCAGUGACACUCCUUUUCCAUUUACAUGGAUCACAGAGAAUUUUCUUUUAAAAUAAACUUAAGUAAAAAAAAAUAAGUUUCCACAAGGUGCCCUGGCUGACCCCACCCGGCCAAUGAAAUGAGCCUCGCCGACGGGCCUGGCGGGAACCGGUGCGUCUGAGGGCUCCCUGGGUGACUCCGGUGAGCGUCGCGGCGGGAACCUGGCCUGCAGCCUCCUCCCUCAAACUCAUUCGUCCCUCUCCCCGUCAACUUGGCCGCCCCCCCGACCCUGCCCAGUGGCGCAGACCUGUCGUUCUCCAGCCGGAUCUUCCCCGCCUGGGCCGUCUGGUUAAAAUGCAGGCUCUGGUGCCAGUCAGGGGGCCUGAGGUCCUGCAUCUCCAACCCACGUUGCUGACGCUGCCAGGAUCUCAUGCUCGGAUCGGUCGGGGUGUAGACGAACUUUCUGUCUGGACAGACGUUGAAAAUGCGACCAGCUGCAUACCGGCUCCAGGACACACGCACAGACACAGAAGAGGCCCCAGUGUCUGGAUGGCGCGACCCCACGGCAUCUCGGGGUUUCGGGUGUGGACUGACUCUGCUCCCAUUUCAAGCACAAGGCCGUUGUCCAGUGGGCUGGGGUGGGAGUGGGUCAGGGGGGGCUUCCUGUCUCCUUGGUUGCACUUUGGGGACAGACUCACCCUGGACCUCUGUGGACAGGAGGUGAGGGGCCCCUUUCAGCUCGUGGGCCCUUGUCAGACUGACCACAUCAUGUGGCCACCACUCAAGCUGAUUGAAGCCUCAUUUGUAAGCAUCUUCUUCCAUCCCAGCAUGACUCGGGGCCUCCCAGGAAAAACCAGAAACCUGGGUGGGUCCUUGAAGCCCCUCUCCCUCCUCAAGUCUAUGCGUCUGCUCUUGGAUUCUCGCCCAAAACUUCUCAAGCCCGGUUCUCCCAUGGAUGUCGCAACCCCCGGUCCACCUCCGUCUCCUUCCUGGAGGACCACAUCUGCCUCCUCACCCAUCUUCGCGUGCUCUGGGGCCUCUCACACUGUCUCCGCACCUCCCCGAUGAUCAAUCAGGCCCCGUGGCUCUUUCCUGCUGCAAAUGCUCCACGGGACUCUGGGCUGGAUACACGAGCCUGCACACAGGAUAAACCACAUCGCUCUAAACACACACGUGCACACGCACACACACACACAUAAACACACACAAGUGCAAGCCAACUGGGGAAAUCUGAAUGAAGUGAGUGGGUUGUAUCCAUGGCAAUAUCCUGGCUGAUACUGCUCUACAGUUUUGCAAACUGUCACCACUGAGGGGACCAGGUAAAGGUGCGUGGGGUCUCUGCUUUAUUUCUUACAACUGCAUGCAAGUCUACAAUUAUCUCAAAAUAAAAAAAUUAAUUUAAAAUAAGUGCUCCAAAGGCUUCUGCUUGUGCACAGAAUCAAAUCCACACUCCUACUGCAGCCCCCAAGCCCCUCCACGCUCUGGCCCGGCCCACCCCAGCACUCACCUGUGAUCCCCACCCACUCACCCUGGCCUGCUUACCUCCUAACCCUGUGUCCUCCCACCUGAGGGCCUUUGCACGUGCUCUUCCUCUGCUGGGAUGGCUCCCCUCCUCCCCAGGUCCACUUCCCCCAAGUCCUACUUAUCCUUAAAGUUCCAUUUCAAGUGCCAUUUCCUCUGAGAAGCAUGUCCUGCCCAGUGAGAUCCGCCAGGUCUGCCUGUGCAAGCUCCUGCAGCCCCCUGUGCCUGUCCUUCGAAGCUCCUAUGCUGUGAUUAUGUGGUCAUUUGAGGGAUUAUCAGAUUAAUGUCCACCUUCCUCUCGAUGGGGAGCUGAUGAGGGCCCAGCACUAAAAAAGCAGCAGACCCUAAGCAGGUGCUCAAUAAAUAUCUGUUGGAUGAAUGAACAAAUGAGCUAAUGAAUGAAAAUCGCC